Molecule: long non-coding RNA, 367 nt
Organism: Physella acuta
Lineage: Eukaryota; Metazoa; Mollusca; Gastropoda; Physidae
Source: RefSeq, a predicted model, not a curated record
UCUGUCGCAGGUCGUCUGCGCCGAAUGACGGGCUGAGCUAUAUCUGGGAGAAACGUCUGCUGGGGGAGAUGCGAGGUUGCGCGUCGCUGUCCAUUCACAAACUGGUGGCUCCAAGAAAAAACAAACUUUGAAAACUUUGAUUAAACUUGUUUCUGGAAGCGACUGGAGCUUACUGAACUUCAUUGGGUUUAAGAGAAAUGUUUCAAAACAAACAUUGGAAACUGUUUUAGUAAAUUAAGUAACGCGCGACUUAGCAGGACUCAGCACAACCCAGUACUCAUCCAGCAAGAUUUUACACGCUGAAAGAAAACAGAGCGACACGACUGAUACAACAGAGAAACAACAAAAACAAAACAAGACAAGGUAA